AUGUUGUGCAUCGUCUUGAAUUUAUUUUUUCUUGUUGCAAAUUACAUUUCAAUAUUUUGUAUUUCUCAAGUUGAGAAAGCUGUACGGAGGCGUCCAGGAAGACAAGGUUCUUCGGUCGGCCAGACGUUGCAGUUCCGACGUUCCCAGUCCGUUGGCAACCUUCUGCGGGAGUUUGAUUUGACACACCAGCACAAGUCUCAAACCCUGGGACAGCAACACAGCCUCUCUCGUGCUGGAGAAUUUGCCAGCACUGAACGCGUGGCCUUCCGUCGCCACAAUCCUGGUUCCUUGACCGAUUCGUUGGUCAUCAUCAGCCGUCGAAGCUCAACUGAGGUGGAAAAACCAAGCGGGAUCUUAUGGGUGAAGGAUGAAAACGAGGAGGAGCCAAAGCCUGCAAAAUCGCAGCUGGAGGAGGAAGAUUUUGGCAUCUUUGUGGAAGGACUCAGAGAAACUUGCCAUAUAAACACUCCUCCAGAUUUGCCAAGUGAAGACCAUUCUCCUGAAUUACCUCUCAACGGUGAUCGCAGCAACCACAUAACACGUAACACAAACAACAACAACGCCUCACCUUGUCGCCUCAAAGGAAUUAAUGGAACAGACUUGUAAGUGGUUCAACAAAUGGUGGAGUUUCCGAGGUUUGUCAAAUGACUUCCACUUCCCAGCCUGAUGGCCCCAGCUUCAUGUGCAAGCCGGAUGCAAACAUUUUGCAGAACAGCAUUGCUCUGCAGCCAGUGUCGCCAAACAGUGAAGUGGUGACUUUGCAACAGUUCUUGGAGGAAGGGGAGGUCAUACCGACGCAGAAACGAGUGAGUGCUCCCUUUCGAGCUGAACAACAUGAAGGUUUUCUUUGAAUGUAUCAAAAAUGUAUUCAAGGUUCCCAAAAUAUUUUCAUUUGAAUAUUACCACUUUCAAGAUUCCUUUUUUUUUAUACAUCUGUAUUGUUUUCCGUUUGAUAAAAGUAAACAGUGAGGCCGAACGAAGCGAAGUUGAGGCCGUUUAUUCCUGAUACGUUAAACUUUCCAUCCAAUAAUCAUCUGAGAGUACGCCAGUACUCUCUAUGUCGGGGUGGCACGGAAGAAAAUGGCCUCCCCAUCUGCUACAUACAAAACUAAAGUUAUAAUAUCUUCUCUUAAAAAGUCACUUGGACUACAUAUGAGAACCUACUUGAUUUGUUCAGAUGAUUAUCGAGGCAGAGAUCACUUUUCAGUUCUCCAGACCAUGGAAGGAAAAAAAAAUAAAAAUAAUAACCACAUCGGUCAAACCCUGGAAUUUAUCUUCUCAAUAAUAAUAUUUUUCAGACAGCAUAUUUCCGAGCUGCCUCUGUCAAUGAUUCCAGUACCAUCCGACAGUUUUGCCUCGUGCCUCACCCUUUGUUAUUGUAAUAUUAAAAACUUGGAAGGAUUCCAUGAAAUGGACGCAAAACUAUAUUCCUUUGUAAAAGAAUUGGCAGGAUCCGAGGGGUGGACGGGACUGUACGACUGUCGAUCAGCCUGGUGGGGGCAGGGCCACUAUGCAUUUACCUCAAUGUCAUACAUAUGGACAUCCAAUAUCAGGAGAAAUAUCAUGCCUCGGGAAAUCCCUUGUUUUUCAGUGUUAUAUUUAUGAAAAUAAAAUAACAGCGAGGUGCAAGUGCUUCACACGGGACACACGUGAUCACGAACCCUGUAUCAAGGUAAAAACGGACCACGUGGUCAAGAAUCUUCUCGAGUCACUGUUUCUCGGCGGCAGAUUUGCUACGUACGUGGGCAUAUGCCAUCGUCCAGAACAACCUGAACGGGGAUAUCCAAUUUAACUCUGAAUUGAGUAAAUAUUUGAACUGGCAUUUGAUGUUCCUUUCGUCUUUGUUUUGACAUACCACAUCGAGUG
Eptatretus burgeri (inshore hagfish) is the source of this 1866-nucleotide long non-coding RNA. The record is from Ensembl. Lineage: Eukaryota; Metazoa; Chordata; Myxini; Myxiniformes; Myxinidae.